This 253-nucleotide ribosomal RNA is filed under the name uncultured bacterium. RNAcentral describes it as "partial 16S ribosomal RNA". It matches the Rfam family "Bacterial small subunit ribosomal RNA", at positions 524 to 776 of the family's 1533-position model. The record is from RNAcentral.
GACAGAGGGUGCAAACGUUGCUCGGAAUUACUGGGCGUAAAGGGCGUGUAGGCGGGCAGGUAAGUCGGGCGUGAAAUCCCUGGGCUCAACCCAGGAACUGCACUCGAAACUACUUGUCUUGAGUACCGGAGAGGAAAGCGGAAUUCCUGGUGUAGAGGUGAAAUUCGUAGAUAUCAGGAGGAACACCAGUGGCGAAGGCGGCUUUCUGGACGGUAACUGACGCUGAGGUGCGAAAGCGUGGGGAGCAAACAGG